GGUAUUAGAGUCUAGGUUUUUGUUUCGCAUGCGCAACUCGUGCUCCUCCCGAUCCAUUCUCUCGCACAGCCGGCGCCGGCGCCGGCGCUGUCUCUUCCUUCCCCGCCAAAGGUUGUUCCUGCCGACAGUUGUCUCGUGGCUGCUAGUGUUUCCCGCUGAAGGCCGCUGGAUCCCACUGCCGAGUCCCGCUCCAAACUGUUGCCCGAGCCUCGCUGGAUCACGCUGCUGGGUCGCUGGUCACUGGAUUGCUGGACCCGCUGCCGCUCGAUCUGGUUGAUCGAUCGAUCGAUCGAUGGCUGGUCGCUGGCUCCCGUCGCCCCAGUCCACCGUCCUGCUAUACCAGUCAUCAUCCUGCACCAGAUCUUGUCGUGCCCGCCACCGUCUUGCCGGCUCCUGCCUCUGUUUCGCUGGAUUCCGCCGCCGUGCUGACCGGAUUCCGCCGUCGUGCUCGCCAGAUCUCGCCGUCGGCCACGUGCUCACCGGAUCCCGCCACCGGCCGCGUGCUCAUCGGAUCCCGCGGCUAUCCUCGCUGCCAGCCACCCGUACUGCUG
RNAcentral lists this long non-coding RNA (551 nucleotides) under Hordeum vulgare. RNAcentral describes it as "long non-coding RNA (HVUL_LNC008207)". The record is from RNAcentral. Lineage: Eukaryota; Viridiplantae; Streptophyta; Magnoliopsida; Poales; Poaceae.